ACGCUCGACACCUACGGGGGGCAGCAGUGGGGAAUAUUGCACAAUGGGGGAAACCCUGAUGCAGCGACGCCGCGUGAGUGAAGAAGUAUUUCGGUAUGUAAAGCUCUAUCAGCAGGGAAGAAGAUGACGGUACCUGAGUAAGAAGCCCCGGCUAACUACGUGCCAGCAGCCGUGGUAAUCUGAGGCGGGCUGGCAAGGC
Molecule: ribosomal RNA, 199 nt
Filed under: uncultured bacterium
Lineage: Bacteria
Description: partial 16S ribosomal RNA
Rfam family: Bacterial small subunit ribosomal RNA
Source: RNAcentral